AUUGAACGCUGGCGGCAGGCCUAACACAUGCAAGUCGAGCGAGCGGCGGACGGGUGAGUAAUGUGUGGGAAACUGCCUGAUGGAGGGGGAUAACUACUGGAAACGGUAGCUAAUACCGCAUACCAUCAGAUGUGCCCAGGGGGGAUUAGCUAGUAGGUGGGGUAACGGCUCACCUAGGCGACGAUCCCUAGCUGGUCUGAGAGGAUGACCAGCAACACUGGAACUGAGACACGGUCCAGACUCCUACGGGAGGCAGCAGUGGGGAAUAUUGCACAAUGGGCGCAAGCCUGAGGCAGCAAUGCCGCGUGAGUGAAGAAGGCUUUCGGGUUGUAAAGCACUGUCAGCGGGGAGGCGGUACCCGAAGAAGAAGCACCGGCUAACUCCGUGCCAGCAGCCGCGGUAAUUC
This 406-nucleotide ribosomal RNA is filed under the name uncultured bacterium. RNAcentral's name for it is "partial 16S ribosomal RNA". It matches the Rfam family "Bacterial small subunit ribosomal RNA", at positions 29 to 526 of the family's 1533-position model. The record is from RNAcentral.